RNAcentral lists this long non-coding RNA (262 nucleotides) under Homo sapiens (human). Its description in RNAcentral is "HSALNT0139569". Lineage: Eukaryota; Metazoa; Chordata; Mammalia; Primates; Hominidae. The record is from RNAcentral.
UAGAAAGAAACGUCAGUGGAAUCGACACUUCCUCUGUAUGAGACAAAGUAAAUACAUGACAGAAAAUUUUCAUAGAAGCUAAAUAAAGCCCAAUUACCAUACCUUCUAAGUUGUCAUCGUGCAGUAUUUAGACUCAAUAGAUUUCAAAGUUUUAGAUAUACCAUACUUAAUUAAAUUAAGACUGCAUGUCUUUGUAUGUUUUAUGAGAAUCUUCUGAGAAAAUUAAGUAAAUUUCAAGGAAAAUAAUCAAUAUAAUAGGGGU